Cricetulus griseus (Chinese hamster) is the source of this 86-nucleotide microRNA precursor. The record is from Ensembl. NCBI's taxonomy places the organism in Eukaryota, Metazoa, Chordata, Mammalia, Rodentia, Cricetidae.
UGAAGGUGUGGGCCUUGGAGCCAGGACUUUAUAGGAUGUGAAGGAGCUGUCCUCCCACAGGCCCAGCUCGUUGCACAGGCCAUCGG